GCGGCUAAGAUUUUUGGCCCACUUAGGCCCCUGUAGCGAGGGGGCGGGGCCCAGAAGGGCUCUGGAUGUCUGCGCUGGACAGCGACCCCGAGAAGGACCUGGUCCUUUUGGGACGGACCUGGAGCCUCUUGAAGAACUUGUGGACCCUGUUGGUCUGCAGAGUCUGUGGAAAACAGAUGACUGGAUUUGCUGGUGGACUGUGAGGGCAAGACGAAUCAAGGUUCUCUCCUGUAUUUCUGGUCUGUUCGACUUAAUGACUUGAUGGGUUCAGCAAGUAUGCAUUGGGUAUCCAGGGAGGACUGAUGGCAGUGCUGGCCUCGUGGGAAAGACCAAGAAAGCAUGAUGAGGAAAUUGAGGCACAGAGAGGUUAAAUUGAUCAAACUCUCGCACCAGUAAAGGUCAGAUUACAGGCUAACCUGAUUGAGCUGCCUUUUAUCCCUUAUUUGGGUUGUUGCUAAGGAAAUUGAGAGGGAAAAAAAAUAUACUGAAGCUGGGUGUGGUGGCCC
Long non-coding RNA from Fukomys damarensis (Damara mole-rat), 506 nucleotides. RefSeq lists it as uncharacterized. The transcript is spliced from 5 exons. NCBI's taxonomy places the organism in Eukaryota, Metazoa, Chordata, Mammalia, Rodentia, Bathyergidae. The record is from RefSeq and is a predicted model, not a curated record.